Molecule: ribosomal RNA, 342 nt
Filed under: uncultured bacterium
Lineage: Bacteria
Description: bacterial SSU rRNA
Rfam family: Bacterial small subunit ribosomal RNA (bases 50-342)
Source: RNAcentral
CCCCCCGUUAAUUACGUUAGGGGGCCGAGCCGUUUCUCCGGAAAUUCACUUGGGCGUUAAAGGCGCCCGUUAGGCCGGCCCAGUCCAAGUUCAGGGGUUAAAAACCGGCGGCUUCUAACUCGUCAGGCUUGCCUCAUGAAACUGUCUGGCUUGAGGACAGGAGAGGGGAGCUGGAAUUCCCAGUGUAGCGGUGAAAUGCGUAGAUAUUGGGAGGAACACCAGUGGCGAAGGCGGCUCCCUGGCCUGCACCUUGAAGCUGAAGGCSCGAAAGCCUGGGGAGCAAACAGGAUUAGAUACCCUGGUAGUCCACGCCGUAAACGAUGGGUACUAGGUGUUGGGUGU